RNAcentral lists this transfer RNA (70 nucleotides) under Sphaerodactylus townsendi. Its description in RNAcentral is "tRNA-Thr". It matches the Rfam family "tRNA". Rfam says of the family: Transfer RNA (tRNA) molecules are approximately 80 nucleotides in length. Their secondary structure includes four short double-helical elements and three loops (D, anti-codon, and T loops). Lineage: Eukaryota; Metazoa; Chordata; Lepidosauria; Squamata; Sphaerodactylidae. The record is from RNAcentral.
GGAGCUGUGGCUUAGUGAUAGAGCAUCUAUCAGUGAUAGAAAGUCCUAGGUUCAAUAUCUGGCAUCUCCA